CCCCCGUCCCUCCCCCCCAUCCGCAUCCGAGCGCCUCUGCUCCCCAGGGCGCCGCACGCAGCCAGGGGCCAGGUGGGAAGCCGGAGCCCGCCGCCUGCCCAGGGCCGCGGGUGGCUUCUCCGCGGUCCCGCGCGGCACCCUCUUCGGGCACCAGCUCCUGAACUUGGCCGGAAACGAACCAGUCCUCUGGAGCGGAAAGCUGCCGGCUUGUUGGUUGCUAGCAAGAGCCUAUCCAGGGUCGAGGUUCGGUGUGUUUGUUUCCACGUGCCUCUGUCCUAACCGGCUCCGCCCCCAAAUUUUCAAGUGUACAAGCUCGCCUUCCGCGCCAACUGUUGGAGUUCACCGUGGUGACCAUCUGACACGUCUCAAACAGCUGCCUCAAAGCAUCCCUCCUCCAGGUGCCCCGUUCCCACCUUCCAGGGGCUAUAAAACAAGCAAAUACACAAAGAAGAAUAUGCGACAGAAACUAGAUGUCCACCCUGUGGCCAUGUGUGAUCUGUGAACCAUCUCUUCUGUUGGCUGCAGGAAUCCUGGUGAAAGGUGGCUUUUCUUCCAUCCAGGCAGCAGUGACAAGAGGCAAGCAUAAAAUUAUGACACAGGUGACAAUUGCUGGUGAAAUACAGGUACCUACUUCCCACGGGGAGAAGCUGUUGAGA
Balaenoptera ricei (Rice's whale) is the source of this 656-nucleotide long non-coding RNA. RefSeq lists it as uncharacterized. The transcript is spliced from 4 exons. NCBI's taxonomy places the organism in Eukaryota, Metazoa, Chordata, Mammalia, Artiodactyla, Balaenopteridae. The record is from RefSeq and is a predicted model, not a curated record.